GUGAACGUUGUUCCUCACGCCCACGGGUCUGCUCAGUGCGUUGCUCUUCCACCGUAGCAGCAACAAUUCCUUCCUCACUUGCCAUCACUCGAAUCACUUCAACCAGCGGUACCUAGGAUUCAAACCGUUGCUCUGAUACAACCUGUCACGAAACUUAGGCUUAGAGAUUAGCCAAGUCGCACGACACUUAGUUAACUUUCUUGUCAAAGUCGAACUAAGUAACCCUAAAUGAG
This 233-nucleotide long non-coding RNA is filed under the name Ricinus communis (castor bean). Its description in RNAcentral is "long non-coding RNA (RCOM_LNC002889)". The record is from RNAcentral. Lineage: Eukaryota; Viridiplantae; Streptophyta; Magnoliopsida; Malpighiales; Euphorbiaceae.